This 497-nucleotide ribosomal RNA is filed under the name uncultured bacterium. RNAcentral describes it as "partial 16S ribosomal RNA". It matches the Rfam family "Bacterial small subunit ribosomal RNA", at positions 28 to 507 of the family's 1533-position model. The record is from RNAcentral.
GACGAACGCUGGCGGCGUGCUUAACACAUGCAAGUCGAACGAAAAGACGAGGAGCUUGCUCCUCGGACGUUAGCGGCGGACGGGUGAGUAACACGUGGAUAAUCUACCUAUAAGUCUGGGAUAACCUCGGGAAACCGGAGCUAAUACCGGAUAAGAUACUGAACCACAUGGUUCAAUAGUGAAAGUCGGUGUUGCUGUCACGUAUAGAGGCAUCCGCGCGGCAUUGGCUGGUUGGUAAGUUACCGACUUACCAAGGCAAGGAUGCGUAGCCGACCGGAGAGGGUGGUCGGCCGCCCUGGAAGUGAACCACGUUCCAGGCUCCUACGGGAGGGAGCAGUAGGGAAUCUUCCGCAAUGGGCGGGAGCUUGACGGAGCAAGGGCGCGUGAGUGGUGGAGGUCUUCCGUUCGUAAUAAUCUGUUUUUAGGGAAGAACAAAUGUGUAAGUAGCUAUGCACUGCUUGACGGUACCUAGUCAAGAAGCAACGGCUAACUACGUG